GGGCCCGCACAAGCGGUGGAGCAUGUGGUUUAAUACGUCACUAACCGUAGAACCUUACCCAGGCUUGACAUCUGUGGAAUCCCUAUGAAAGUGGGGAGUGCCUCGUAAGAGGAGCCGCAAGACAGGUGUUGCAUGGCUGUCGUCAGCUCGUGUCGUGAGAUGUUGGGUUAAGUCCCGCAACGAGCGCAACCCUCAUCCGAUGUUGCCAGCGUAGAGUCGGGAACUCUUCGGAAACUGCCCGUGUAAGCGGGAGGAAGGUGGGGAUGACGUCAAGUCAGCAUGGCCCUUACGCCUGGGGCUACACACAUGCUACAAUGGAUGUGAACAAAGGGCAGCAAUACCGCGAGGUGGAGCGAAUCUCAAAAAUGCAUCCUCAGUUCGGAUUGUAGUCUGCAACUCGACUACAUGAAGUCGGAAUCGCUAGUAACCGCAGGUCAGCUAAACUGCGGUGAAUACGUUCCCGGGCCUU
RNAcentral lists this ribosomal RNA (469 nucleotides) under uncultured bacterium. RNAcentral's name for it is "bacterial SSU rRNA". It matches the Rfam family "Bacterial small subunit ribosomal RNA", at positions 917 to 1382 of the family's 1533-position model. The record is from RNAcentral.